UCUGGCAUUCCGCCUCAAGGCGACCUUAGUCUCUCCUAUAAAAGCGACACUGUUCCUGCUUCCUGUCAUACUGGAUUACAUUUCAUCGUCGGAGCACCAACAGAAAAAAAAAAACAUAAUGCAGCGUGCAGUGAUCGCCAUCUUUGUGCUCGUCCUUGUGGCCUGCGCUUUGGUUGCUGUUGAAGCCCAAUUCGGCAGAGGCGGCUUUGGAGGUGGUCGCUUCGGCGGUGGCUUCGGCGGUGGCCGAGGAUUCGGUGGUGGAUUCGGCGGUGGCUUCGGCGGUGGACGAGGAUUCGGCGGUGGCCGUGGAUUCGGCGGCGGACGUGGAUUCGGUGGUGGCCGUGGAUUCUAUGGUUAAUCAUACCACUGACUGUUUCAACUAAAGGCACGGCGAUGUCCCAUUCCUGCAAGGAAGCUACCGUCCAGGCAGACUGCCAUUGAAUUUGUAAAAUAAUAAGAGAGACGUGUGCGACGAACUCUGCUGGACAAAGGACGUGAAUAAACACUUAUCCAAACAGCGAAA
Molecule: long non-coding RNA, 523 nt
Organism: Ornithodoros turicata
Lineage: Eukaryota; Metazoa; Arthropoda; Arachnida; Ixodida; Argasidae
Exons: 3
Source: RefSeq, a predicted model, not a curated record